GAUUACUGCAGUGUGCACAG
This 20-nucleotide non-coding RNA is filed under the name Rattus norvegicus (Norway rat). Lineage: Eukaryota; Metazoa; Chordata; Mammalia; Rodentia; Muridae. The record is from RNAcentral.